AUUGAACGCUGGCGGCAGGCUUAACACAUGCAAGUCGAGCGGAGUGAUGGUGCUUGCACUAUCACUUAGCGGCGGACGGGUGAGUAAUGCUUAGGAAUCUGCCUAUUAGUGGGGGACAACAUCUCGAAAGGGAUGCUAAUACCGCAUACGUCCUACGGGAGAAAGCAGGGGAUCACUUGUGACCUUGCGCUAAUAGAUGAGCCUAAGUCGGAUUAGCUAGUUGGUGGGGUAAAGGCCUACCAAGGCGACGAUCUGUAGCGGGUCUGAGAGGAUGAUCCGCCACACUGGGACUGAGACAGGGCCCAGACUCCGACGGGAGGCAGCAGUGGGGGAUAUUGGACAAUGGGGGGAACCCUGAUCUAGCCAUGCCGCGUGUGUGAAGAAGGCCUUAUGGUUGUAAAGCACUUUAAGCGAGGAGGAGGCUCUUUUGGUUAAUACCCAAGAUGAGUGGACGUUACUCGCAGAAUAAGCACCGGCUAACUCUGUGCCAGCCGCCGCGGUAA
This 503-nucleotide ribosomal RNA is filed under the name uncultured bacterium. RNAcentral describes it as "partial 16S ribosomal RNA". It matches the Rfam family "Bacterial small subunit ribosomal RNA", at positions 30 to 523 of the family's 1533-position model. The record is from RNAcentral.